Molecule: non-coding RNA, 109 nt
Organism: Bombardia bombarda
Lineage: Eukaryota; Fungi; Ascomycota; Sordariomycetes; Sordariales; Lasiosphaeriaceae
Source: the annotation of a GenBank genome assembly
GGCUGGAUGGUGGAGUGGUCUAACACGCUAGUCUCAAGAAAUCCUUGACCCCGAAAAGGGGAGUUUACUAGUCUCGCAAGAGGCGUGGGUUCGAAUCCCACUCCAGUCA